This 274-nucleotide ribosomal RNA is filed under the name uncultured bacterium. RNAcentral describes it as "partial 16S ribosomal RNA". It matches the Rfam family "Bacterial small subunit ribosomal RNA", at positions 523 to 796 of the family's 1533-position model. The record is from RNAcentral.
AUACGGAGGGUGCAAGCGUUAUCCGGAUUUACUGGGUUUAAAGGGUACGCAGGCGGUAAUUUAAGUAAGUGGUGAAAGCCUACAGCUCAACUGUAGAACUGCCAUUGAAACUGAAUUACUUGAGUAUGGUAGAGGUAGGCGGAAUACAACAUGUAGCUGUGAAAUGCAUAGAUAUGUUGUAGAACACCGAUUGCGAAGGCAGCUUACUAAACCAUUACUGACGCUCAUGUACGAAAGCGUGGGGAGCGAACAGGAUUAGAAACCCAAGUAGUCC